UAGCAUAUCAAUAAGCGGAGGAAAAGAAACCAACAGGGAUUGCCCCAGUAACGGCGAGUGAAGCGGCAACAGCUCAAAUUUGAAAUCUGGCCCCAGGCCCGAGUUGUAAUUUGCAGAGGAUGCUUUUGGCGCGGUGCCUUCCGAGUUCCCUGGAACGGGACGCCAUAGAGGGUGAGAGCCCCGUACGGUUGGACACCAAGUCUUUGUAAAGCUCCUUCGACGAGUCGAGUAGUUUGGGAAUGCUGCUCAAAAUGGGAGGUAUAUUUCUUCUAAAGCUAAAUAUUGGCCAGAGACCGAUAGCGCACAAGUAGAGUGAUCGAAAGAUGAAAAGCACUUUGAAAAGAGGGUUAAACAGCACGUGAAAUUGUUAAAAGGGAAGCGCUUAUGACCAGACUUGCGCCCGGUGAAUCACCCAGCUCUCGCGGCUGGGGCACUUUGCCGGCUCAGGCCAGCAUCAGCUCGCUGUCGGGGACAAAAGCUUCGGGAACGUAGCUCUCUUCGGGGAGUGUUAUAGCCCGUUGCAUAAUACCCUUCGGCGGGCUGAGGUACGCGCUCCGCAAGGAUGCUGGCGUAAUGGUCAUCAGCGACCCGUCUUGAAACACGGACCAAGGAGUCAACCUUAUGUGCGAGUGUUUGGGUGUUAAACCCCUACGCGUAAUGAAAGUGAACGCAGGUGAGAGCUUCGGCGCAUCAUCGACCGAUCCUGAUGUUCUCGGAUGGAUUUGAGUAAGAGCAUAUAGGGUUGGACCCGAAAGAAGGUGAACUAUGCGUGUAUAGGGUGAAGCCAGAGGAAACUCUGGUGGAGGCUCGCAGCGGUUCUGACGUGCAAAUCGAUCGUCAAAUAUGCGCAUGGGGGCGAAAGACUAAUCGAACCUUCUAGUAGCUGGUUUCCGC
Molecule: ribosomal RNA, 894 nt
Filed under: Colletotrichum petchii
Lineage: Eukaryota; Fungi; Ascomycota; Sordariomycetes; Glomerellales; Glomerellaceae
Description: LSU rRNA
Rfam family: Eukaryotic large subunit ribosomal RNA
Source: RNAcentral